RNAcentral lists this ribosomal RNA (253 nucleotides) under uncultured bacterium. RNAcentral describes it as "partial 16S ribosomal RNA". It matches the Rfam family "Bacterial small subunit ribosomal RNA", at positions 524 to 776 of the family's 1533-position model. The record is from RNAcentral.
UACGUAGGGUGCAGGCGUUAAUCGGAAUUACUGGGCGUAAAGCGUGCGCAGGCGGUUUCUUAAGUCAGAUGUGAAAGCCCCGGGCUUAACCUGGGAACUGCGUUUGAAACUGGGAGACUUGAGUGUGGCAGAGGGGGGUGGAAUUCCACGUGUAGCAGUGAAAUGCGUAGAUAUGUGGAGGAGCACCGAUGGCGAAGGCAGCCCCCUGGGUUAACACUGACGCUCAUACACGAAAGCGUGGGGAGCAAGCAGG